UUUUCCUAACUAUAAUCGUGCAAAACCUAAACCUUUCUAACAAAACCCUCGAAUUCAAUCUCCCGGAAAACCUAGACCAUAAUGGCGCACCACCACCAGAUCUUUCCGGCGACUGUUAGGGUUUUGCGCAAAAAUUAAAUCACACAGCGUCAAAUGGCCGGAGCUAGAUCUUUGUUCUUUGGCUCCCCUCUCCUUCUCUCUCUUUGGCUGUUUUAUAUAUCAAGAAAUAAUUCAACUUGUGGAGUGCACCAACUUUGGAAGGCUUAAUUAUGGCUAUGGCACUAGUUGGAGCAACUCUGAUCACAACAUGUUGCGGACCGAUUUCAGAUCGUGUUGGUCGUCUCCCUAUGAUGAGUAUCUCAUCACUCUGUUACUUUGUUAGUUCCUUAAUAAUGUUGUGGUCUCCCAAUAUUUAUCUUCUACUCUUGCGUCUUCUAUUGGAUGGUUGCGGAAAUGGUUGGAAGUCACUCUUUGUUCCACUUUAUAUACCAGAGACAGCUCCAACUGAAAUAAGGGGUUCAUUGAACACACUUCCUCAGUUCACUGAUUCUGGUGGAAUGUUUGUCGCGAACUGUACGGUUUUUGGGAUGUCACUAAUGGAAAAACCUAGUUGGAGAUUGAUACUUGGGGUUCUUUUAGUUCCAUCCAGUAUUAUUAUAUAUUAAAUGUAUUCUUCUUACCCGAGUCUCCUCGUUGGCUUGUUAAUAAGGGAAGAAUGAAUGAGGCCAAAAGGGUUCUUCAACAAUUGCGAGGCAGGGAUGAUAUCGUUAUAUUUUAACAAAGCUCCCAUGUAUUCUCAAACUACAAAUAACGAGCUAAGGGAGAGGUGGAUCUCAUACGUUAUCGAAUAUCACCAACCAAAUAACGAUGAAGAUGAAUAUUAUGAUGACGAUGAUCUAGUGUGACUUAAGCUAGCUCAGGGAGAUGGUUACCUAAGUUCAGUCAUGCAGAUGAACUGCCAAGUCUACCACCAGUAGACAAUUCCACUAAUAUGGUCCUUGUCCUUGCUGCAGAAGCUGCUAUUGUUUUUGCUACACCAUCCCCAGUUGCUGCUGCUACACAAUCCCCAGUACGUUGCUGCUGCUACAGAAGCUCUAGCGGCUUCUGCAGAGGCCAGCUCUUGAAUUUUUUAUUUUUAUUUAUAUUGGAUUUUGUUUUUACCGUACCUUGUGUAGAUCGUUUAUAUUUUGUCAAUGAAUAAUAGGAUUUUGUUAUUGAAUGAACAAUAUUAUGUUGUUAUUGAAUGAAAGGAUUUUUGGAAA
Spinacia oleracea (spinach) is the source of this 1262-nucleotide long non-coding RNA. RefSeq lists it as uncharacterized. NCBI's taxonomy places the organism in Eukaryota, Viridiplantae, Streptophyta, Magnoliopsida, Caryophyllales, Amaranthaceae. The transcript has 3 exons. The record is from RefSeq and is a predicted model, not a curated record.